UACAGAGGUCUCAAGCGUUGUUCGGAUUCAUUGGGCGUAAAGGGUGCGUAGGCGGCGCGGUAAGUCGGGUGUGAAAUCUCGGAGCUUAACUCCGAAACUGCAUUCGAUACUGCCGUGCUUGAGGACUGGAGAGGAGACUGGAAUUCCUGGUGUAGCGGUGAAAUGCGCAGAUAUCAGGAGGAACACCGGUGGCGAAGGCGGGUCUCUGGGCAAGAACUGACGCUGAGGAGCGAAAGCGUGGGGAGCGAACAGG
This 253-nucleotide ribosomal RNA is filed under the name uncultured bacterium. RNAcentral's name for it is "partial 16S ribosomal RNA". It matches the Rfam family "Bacterial small subunit ribosomal RNA", at positions 524 to 776 of the family's 1533-position model. The record is from RNAcentral.